UUUCCGUAGGUGAACCUGCGGAAGGAUCAUUAAAGUUAUAGUCCCCCGGCCCUCUGGGCUGGGGUCUUCUAUACCACCCCUUGUUUAUUACACCUUUGUUGCUUUGGCAGGCCUGCCCUCGGGCUGCUGGCUCCGGCCGGCUCGCGUCUGCCAGAGGACCUAAACUCUGUUUGUAUAUGAAGUCUGAGUACUAUAUAAUAGUUAAAACUUUCAACAACGGAUCUCUUGGUUCUG
RNAcentral lists this unclassified non-coding RNA (234 nucleotides) under plant metagenome. RNAcentral describes it as "partial contains small subunit ribosomal RNA, internal transcribed spacer 1, and 5.8S ribosomal RNA". The record is from RNAcentral.